CCUACGGGAGGCAGCAGUGAGGAAUAUUGGUCAAUGGCCGAGAGGCUGAACCAGCCAAGUCGCGUGAGGGAAGACGGUACUGCGUAUUGUAAACCUCUUUUGUCGGGGAACAAAGAGAGUCACGUGUCACUCAUUGAGAGUACCCGAAGAAAAAGCAUCGGCUAACUCCGUGCCAGCAGCCGCGGUAAUACGGAGGGUGCAAGCGUUGUCCGGAAUCAUUGGGCGUAAGGAGUUCGUAGGCGGCCGGUAAAGGCAGGUGUUAAAGGCGCAGGCUCAACCUGGGUCGCGCAGUUGAUACUGGCAAGCUGGAAUGCGGUAGAGGUAUAGGGAAUGCGUGGUGUAGCGGUGAAAUGCGUAGAUAUCAGGAGGAACAUCGGUUGCGUAAGCGCGGUACUGGGUCGUAAUUGACGCUGAGGAACGAAAGCCAGGGUAGCAAAUGGGAUUAGAUACCCUAGUAGUC
This 460-nucleotide ribosomal RNA is filed under the name uncultured bacterium. RNAcentral describes it as "partial 16S ribosomal RNA". It matches the Rfam family "Bacterial small subunit ribosomal RNA", at positions 338 to 795 of the family's 1533-position model. The record is from RNAcentral.